RNAcentral lists this ribosomal RNA (253 nucleotides) under uncultured bacterium. RNAcentral's name for it is "partial 16S ribosomal RNA". It matches the Rfam family "Bacterial small subunit ribosomal RNA", at positions 524 to 776 of the family's 1533-position model. The record is from RNAcentral.
GACGAACCGUGCGAACGUUGUUCGGAUUCACUGGGCUUAAAGGGCGCGUAGGCGGUUGACCAAGUCAGGGGUGAAAUCCCUCGGCUUAACCGGGGAACUGCGUCUGAUACUGGAUGGCUUGAGUUCGGGAGAGGGAUGCGGAAUUCCAGGUGUAGCGGUGAAAUGCGUAGAUAUCUGGAGGAACACCGGUGGCGAAGGCGGCAUCCUGGACCGACACUGACACUGAGGAGCGAAAGCCAGGGGAGCAAACGGG